This 537-nucleotide ribosomal RNA is filed under the name Triticum aestivum (bread wheat). Its description in RNAcentral is "partial small subunit ribosomal RNA". Lineage: Eukaryota; Viridiplantae; Streptophyta; Magnoliopsida; Poales; Poaceae. The record is from RNAcentral.
AUGGUGGCAGCCUCGCCUCCCUCCUUCCAUCUCGCCCUCCUCCUCUUCGCAGCCCACGCGGCCGUCGGCAGCGCCGCGGGGGCGGUCGGGGUGAGCGGCGGCGGGCAGCUGUGGUGCGUGGCGAAGAACAACGCCGAGGACGGCGCGCUGCAGUCGGCCAUCGACUGGGCCUGCGGCCCCAACGGCGGCGCCGACUGCCGCGCCAUCCAGCAGGGCGGCGCCUGCUACGAGCCGCCCGACCUCCUGGCGCACGCCUCCUACGCCUUCAACGACUACUUCCUCCGAUCCGGCGGCGCCGCCAGCCCCGCCGCCUGCGACUUCUCCGGCGCCGCCGCGCUCAUCGGCCUCAACCCUAGUCGUGGGAACUGCGUGUUUCCUUCCAGUUCAUCCCCCAGAAAUGGCAGCUUCACAGGAAUAACAACCUAUGGCCGAACCGGUGCAGAUUUAAGCCAAAGUUCUUCAUGGCGACUCAACACCCGGUCAUUUAUUUUGUGCAUGUCUCUGUCUGUAACAUUUCUUGUUGCCUCGCGUUUCUGA